CCGUGAAAUAUCGAUAGGCAUCCGUGCUUUUAAAAGCUUUCAGACUUUCCCCGGUGUACGAAGACGGGUUGUGUAUCAGAUAUAUGUAUAAGUCGUGGAAGGAAAAAUCUGGAAGCCUGUCAGUUGAUGAAAGGUGUUGAAAACAGUCUGCAGGAACUUCGUAUGGAUCGCAUCCAAUAACAGCGAUUUUUUUCGUUGUAUCGUUUAAGUUUGUGGGGAUUUAAAUGAGAACGAUCCAUUCUGGUCUGAGAGAAAGCGCCACGGAGCUUAGCGUUCGGUACUCAACAUGGCGGUAGCAAGCGUGAUGACAUCAUCUUCCUGAAACGCAUCUAUUGCUAAUGUGUAACUGGGUUUUGCAAGCAGGUGUCAAGAAAAAGAACAUCCCUGCACCAGAGAGGCCGCAAGUCCCCCAGCCUGCACCAGAGAAAGCAAGUUUUCUCUGAGCCACAUCAUCCAAUAAGGACACCACAAACCAAUCUUCAUACAUGUGGGAGAGACAAGGAUUGUGUAAAGAGAGUCAUGGCUGAAACUAUAACACAUGCUCUGGCCAAGAAUAUCAACAUGCAAGGCAUAAAUGGGAAGAUUGGCUUCCAGCACUUGCAAAUAAAAUAAGUUGUGAUUGCGGCUGUGUGAUGUAAUAACCUGACCUCUGAUGCCAUGGACCAAGAAAGUGAAACAAAAAUAAAAAUAUAGCUUCAAAAUGCACCCGAUCGGUUUGGGUGAAAAACCAGAGAGCUUAAAUACUGAAGGAGGUAGAGCAUGAACCAAUAAACUGAGAGAGGAGCCAAUCAAGAGGAAUAUGAAAAGCUGGUGAUCAGGAAUGCAAGAGAACUGAGGAAGAGUGACUAAUUAACCUGAUGAGCAUGGAGAGCAGGGAGGUGACCAGUACACAAGUAAACAGUGACUAGAAUAAAGAACAUAAACAAGAGGAAAACCGAUCUAUCAGGAUAUAACUAAACACAUCUAACACCGGAACCCAGGAAGCAACAAAACUAAACAGAAGCAAUCUAAAUAAACCAAAACAAACAGAAAAGCACCUGGCUGAGCAGAGAAGGUUUCUACCUGAAGCUUUGUUUACCUUGUUGAGUUUCGGCUUCGUUUCCAGAGAAUCUCUGAGCUUCUGUAUUAUUAACUACUGAGUUAAGGAACUACCUUCUUGUGGAUUUCUCUCACUACCGUCUGAACCUUUCGGACACGGACCGAGCUGGCGGCUUCCCGUUUCCUUCGACUCCAAUACCCAGGCAUCAGCAGACCCUGCUUCUUCCUUCUUCUCGAACAUCGGCACCUGAGCUCCCUUUUGCUGGCACCAAGCUCACAACAGAAAAGACAACUGGACAAUUCCCCUUCCCAAGUUAAGACUCUGAAUCUCUCUGCCCCUGGCGGUUCUUGCUACAACAAUUUAGUAAGUCAUUUCUCAGAUCUAAGUAAUCAGUUGCCUCAUAUCAUUCGCUUGUUCACCAAUCCAUUCUGCUUCCUUCCCUUACAGUUGGUGUUCCCAGUUCCUGUCCUAAGAUUACUUUAUUGACAAUAAAAACUAUAAACCUUU
Molecule: long non-coding RNA, 1546 nt
Organism: Girardinichthys multiradiatus
Lineage: Eukaryota; Metazoa; Chordata; Actinopteri; Cyprinodontiformes; Goodeidae
Exons: 5
Source: RefSeq, a predicted model, not a curated record